RNAcentral lists this unclassified non-coding RNA (592 nucleotides) under Hevea brasiliensis (rubber tree). The record is from RNAcentral. Lineage: Eukaryota; Viridiplantae; Streptophyta; Magnoliopsida; Malpighiales; Euphorbiaceae.
AGAAUCAACUAACUGAAACCUUCGGAGAGGACAGAUAAUUAACUCUGGAAAUACCGAGCAAUUGCGGCCUGUCUCUGCGAAGGAAUAGGAUGGAGCCUGUUCCCUUCUCUUCUGGCUUGAUGAUUUAUUCAGAACCCCAGAACCAUCCAAUGGAACCUUUGAACUACUAUGUACAGAAUUGUACUGUAUUGAUGGAUGUGCAUCUCUAAAAAAUUCCUCCCGCGAGGAGAACUCUUCAAUAUCAUCAUCACCAUUAUCACACAAAACCGAGUCCUUUUCUUUCUUCUUCAAUCUCGAUUCCCGGAUUGCGGUUCCUCGUCUCAGCCGCUUGAAUGGCCGGGUAACUCUGGGCCGGAUUCGGGGUCCGAAUUCAUAACCUGAAAUCCAAAAUCAUUUUCUUUCAGAAUUGAUGACUCGGGGUUGGAAAUUUUCAUCAUGGUCGUCCUCCGAGAGGGUAAGGGAGCUCGGACCCGGAUCCAAAUUGAGGACGGAGUGUUGAUGGUGGGGAGAAGGUAUUUGGGGUUACGGGUCGGCAUCAAGAUCCAGCCCGAGAGAGAAGGAUGGAGGUUCAAUAUCGGCCAUUGGAGAGAGA